RNAcentral lists this ribosomal RNA (526 nucleotides) under uncultured bacterium. Its description in RNAcentral is "bacterial SSU rRNA". It matches the Rfam family "Bacterial small subunit ribosomal RNA", at positions 777 to 1304 of the family's 1533-position model. The record is from RNAcentral.
AAUAGAUACCCAGGUAGUCCAUGCCGUAAACGGUGGGCGCUAGGUGUGGGGGUCUUCCACGACUUCUGUGCCGUAGCUAACGCAUUAAGCGCCCCGCCUGGGGAGUACGGCCGCAAGGCUAAAACUCAAAGGAAUUGACGGGGGCCCGCACAAGCGGCGGAGCAUGUGGAUUAAUUCGAUGCAACGCGAAGAACCUUACCUGGGCUUGACAUACGCCGGAUCGCCGCAGAGAUGUGGUUUCCCUUGUGGCCGGUGUACAGGUGGUGCAUGGUUGUCGUCAGCUCGUGUCGUGAGAUGUUGGGUUAAGUCCCGCAACGAGCGCAACCCUUGUCUUGUGUUGCCAGCACGUUAUGGUGGGGACUCGCGAGAGACUGCCGGGGUUAACUCGGAGGAAGGUGGGGAUGACGUCAAAUCAUCAUGCCCCUUAUGUCCAGGGCUUCACACAUGCUACAAUGGUCGGUACAGUGGGUUGCGAUGCCGUGAGGUGGAGCUAAUCCCUUAAGCCGGUCUCAGUUCGGAUUGGAGU